GAUGAACGCUGGCGGCGUGCCUAAUACAUGCAAGUCGAGCGAACAGACGAGGAGCUUGCUCCUCUGACGUUAGCGGCGGACGGGUGAGUAACACGUGGAUAACCUACCUAUAAGACUGGGAUAACUUCGGGAAACCGGAGCUAAUACCGGAUAAUAUAUUGAACCGCAUGGUUCAAUAGUGAAAGACGGUUUUGCUGUCACUUCUAGAUGGAUCCGCGCCGCAUUAUCUAGUUGGUAAGGUAACGGCUUACCAAGGCAACGAUGCGUAGCCGACCUGAGAGGGUGAUCGGCCACACUGGAACUGAGACACGGUCCAGACUCCUACGGGAGGCAGCAGUAGGGAAUCUUCCGCAAUGGGCGAAAGCUUGACGGAGCAACGCCGCGUGAGUGAUGAAGGUCUUCGGAUCGUAAAACUCUGUUAUUAGGGAAGAACAAAUGUGUAAGUAACUAUGCACGUCUUGACGGUAACUAAUCAGAAAGCCACGGCUAACUACGUG
This 497-nucleotide ribosomal RNA is filed under the name uncultured bacterium. Its description in RNAcentral is "partial 16S ribosomal RNA". It matches the Rfam family "Bacterial small subunit ribosomal RNA", at positions 28 to 507 of the family's 1533-position model. The record is from RNAcentral.